RNAcentral lists this ribosomal RNA (265 nucleotides) under uncultured Oscillospiraceae bacterium. RNAcentral describes it as "partial 16S ribosomal RNA". It matches the Rfam family "Bacterial small subunit ribosomal RNA", at positions 76 to 339 of the family's 1533-position model. Lineage: Bacteria; Bacillati; Bacillota; Clostridia; Eubacteriales; Oscillospiraceae. The record is from RNAcentral.
UCCAAGUGAAGUAGAGGACAGUGGCGGACGGGUGAGUAACACGUAAGCAACCUGCCUAUCAGAGGGGAACAACAGUUAGAAAUGACUGCUAAUACCGCAUAUACCCAAGUGUCACAUGGCACAAUGGGGAAAGGAGCAAUCCGCUGAUAGAUGGGCUUGCGUCUGAUUAGCUAGUUGGUGGGGUAACGGCCUACCAAGGCGACGAUCAGUAGCCGGACUGAGAGGUUGAACGGCCACAUUGGGACUGAGAUACGGCCCAGACUCC